ACUACAUGAUGAAAUUAACAAAUUAGGAACUUAAGUUUAUAAUGUCAAAACAUUCUUCAGUAUGCUUUUUUGAAUUAUCAAUUCUAAGGUUUUGAUUGAGGCUUAAAACAUGUGUGUGUGUCUGUGUGUGUGCCUCUGUGUGUGUGCCCAAAUACAUAUAUAAACACAGUUUCCACACAUUUUCUAACAUGUCUGGGCCUAGAGCACUCCUUGGAGGUAGUG
RNAcentral lists this small RNA (222 nucleotides) under Marmota monax (woodchuck). The record is from RNAcentral. Lineage: Eukaryota; Metazoa; Chordata; Mammalia; Rodentia; Sciuridae.